CCUACCAGAUUCCUCGCAGGCAGCCCCUCUGCUCUCUUCCCCGGCGAACCCCUCUAAGUUCCUCGCCGGCAGCCGCUCCUAGAUUCCUCGCCGGCAGCCCCUCCCCUCCCUUCCCCGGCCACCGCCAGAGUCGGGCAAGAGUCCCUCCGCAUCUCUACUUUUGGAUCAGGCCGUGCAGGGCCAUCGGAGAUAGCAGCAGUUGCUACCAUGCCCGACCUCCAUCAUGCAGCCCUUUCUUCCUUGCUACCCAUGAAGCCUACCAACGACAGGACCAACAUGACCAUGAGUAUGCUCGAGCGAUUCAGGCGCGGAGGUUUUCUGCCGGCGCCAAGCUACUCGUUCCCAGCGGCGGCGAUGCCAAACUGCUAAUAUAGGACGAGCAGUAUGUGCGCUGUGGAUCUUUUCCAGUUUGCUUCAUGUUUGAUUAGGAGAACUGCAUGUGAUCAUUAAAGAAAAAGAAACAAGUACCAAGUCCUAAGCAACAUACAGAAAAGCGACCAAAACAAGACGAAGACAAGAGGCAACAUACAGAAAAGCAUCUGUAAUGUUUACCCCGGUUUUCCCUGUUACACUUGUAUCCAGCCGGUAUACGAGAUGCACGCCUCAGUCCGUCGUUUCUUUUCCGGACAGAAAUCAAUUGCGAUUGGUAAGAUACACCUGUAAGAUAAAUACCUCUGUAGAAUAUUACAUCGAUUCCAAGCGCAGAAGGACUUUAGGACAGAGAGGCAGCUUCGCAGGGGGGUCAACACGAGCAAGAUAAAUUAGUCAUGGAGCAGUCUUUAGUGAAGACUGAUCUAGAACUGGCAUACAUUUAUGAGUAUGUGCAAUUUUUUGGUGCGACUGAACUGGUCGUUUCUAAAAAAUAGCCAAAACUCGUUUCACUAUGCCACUACUGUUUUUGCAUAGAAUUAAUGUCUAUUUGGGUGGUGCCAAACUGCCAACAGAAGACGAGCUGUCUUCUCCUAAAAGAAUGACAAAAUUGUGUACCUGUAUGUUAUUUAGGGUCUGUAUUGCAUAUGACCUAG
Triticum dicoccoides is the source of this 1025-nucleotide long non-coding RNA. RefSeq lists it as uncharacterized. The record is from RefSeq and is a predicted model, not a curated record. The transcript has 4 exons. Lineage: Eukaryota; Viridiplantae; Streptophyta; Magnoliopsida; Poales; Poaceae.